AUCCCUAUAAUACUAAACUAUUUUAUAAUUGUCUAAUAGUCAGCUAUCAUUACACUUUCAGAUGAACCAGAUUUGUCUGUCCGGGCCGGUCCAUUAGGUUUUAAUACCCAGGGCAAGAUAAGAAUUUCAUGCCCUUUUAUACGUACCACACAAUAAGCAAUACGUAUAAAGAAUUUAUAAAAAGAUAAAUGUGGUAAAUUUUACAAUAAAAAAAAAAUAAAACAAGCAAAAACCUACAAAAAUAACCUAAAAUGAUGUCUUCAUACAUUUUUUUUACACAAAAACAUCUCUUAUUUUACUUUAUGAUAGUCAAUAUUUUGUACUUUAUGAUGCUUGAAAAGCUAAUCCUUCCAAUCUUUCUUAAAGAUACAAUUUCAAGAGAUUAAAUUUUAUAAAAACCACAUUUCGUUAUAUUUUGACUUCUUGUUUCUACUUUUCACAUGCCAAGAGACCUGAAAAAUGAAUCAUAGAAUCAAAAAUAGUAAUCUGUUUUUAAAAUUACCAUCAAAUAUUAACAAUAAAAAUAAUUUAUACCUUUUAUUGCCUCUAGAAGUCCACAUAUUUAAAAUAAACGAGAGCCAAUUCAUAUCACAGAAACGAAAACACAAAAGUUUAGAAAGAACAUUUACAAAUUUAUAGCAGAAGUAAACAAUAGAUAACAAAUGGUCACAAAUUGUACACGAAGGCUGAAGCAAACCAUUUCAAAAAUCAGAUACAAAUCAACAGAUUUCAAUCUCAAACUAAAGAGAAGUCAGAUAUAAAAAUCCAAUAGAUCUUUCAGACAUUGACUCUUUUUUGCUGUAAUAAAAUAGAGAAAAAAUAAAAUAGAUAAGAACAAAGUAGAUUUCUGAAUCAAACCUAAAUAAACAAAAUUUGAACUAAAAUAGAGAAAAAUCGAGUCUAGUAAAACUUGAACAAGCCAUUCAUUACAACAACCAACAAGAAUCAAUUUUAUUUCUGAAACAAAAAGCAAAAACACUAAAGAUAAAUCACUUCAAAAAACUAGAAUGAGAACAAGAAAAGGAAAUCGGAAUAAGAGAAAUUGAACUCAUCUAGAUCAGAAUCACACCCAAAUAAGAGUCGUUGUAUCAUAACAAUGUAUCUUGGACCUAGAAUGCUUGCAAGUUGAAUCACGAUCUUUAACCAUAGAGAAAUCAGAAAUUAGAAAACAUAACUUGAAAAAUAAAGAAAUUGGAAUGUUUAGAAACUAGAAAUCAGAGAAUCAGAAUAACUUAAAGAUUGAAUUGAAACUUGGGAGCUAUAUAUUAUCGACUGAAUAUGAAAAAUUCAGAAAUCGAUUCUUACUCUUUAUUUAUCAGAGACAUAAGGUGAUUCUAGGGCAUCAAAUUCUCCAAUCGAUAACAACAUGUUUCAAAGCGCCGGACGUUUGGAUUUUCUAUACGCAAUUGAUGAACGCUCGAUGAUUGUCUGGCGCCUAAGGUUUUCUUGCCCUGCUUUCUCACGUCCUGACAGAUCACAAGAUAUGGGGCUAUUUUUUGGGCCACUUUAUAUGUAAAAGAACCAUAGCUGGAUGCCCCCAUAAACUUCCUACCCUGGGCCUAAGCCCAAGUUGCCUAGGUACUGGGCCGGGCCUGCGAGUGUAUGUCGUUAUAACUAGUUAAUCUUGCUAUGAUGUCAUCAGAAAAGUUGCUCAACAUUAGAUAUCAUGUCUCUGGAAAAUUAUGAUGUCUAUCAACAUUAAUAGCCCUUGUUUUAGUUCUUUCUGGAUUCCAGUAAAAAUAGUCACACAUGACAAAUGGUUUUCAAAUUCUUCCACGAUCGAUUGAGGAUCCAUAAAACUACGGCUGCCAUUUCGCUGCUCCCAGUAGACAUGCAAGGGAGGUUCAGAUGAUGAAGCUUUUAUACUUGCAUUAAUGAGUCUUGAUUUGUUCUUUGUUAGGAAUGUAACAAAAUAAGAUGAUAUAUAGCACUUGUAUGUCAUAUUUUUCAAGUAAAUGUUUAAGAUAAGAAAGACCCUGAUUACUAACCUGCU
Molecule: long non-coding RNA, 1993 nt
Filed under: Lactuca sativa (garden lettuce)
Lineage: Eukaryota; Viridiplantae; Streptophyta; Magnoliopsida; Asterales; Asteraceae
Description: long non-coding RNA (LSAT_LNC002380)
Source: RNAcentral